UCCUACGGGGGGCUGCAGUGAGGAAUAUUGGUCAAUGGGCGCAAGCCUGAACCAGCCAUCCCGCGUGCAGGAAGACGGCCCUAUGGGUUGUAAACUGCUUUUCCAGGGGGAGAAACUUUCCGAUGAAUCGGGAUUUGACGGUACCCUGGGAAUAAGCAUCGGCUAACUCCGUGCCAGCAGCCGCGGUAAUACGGAGGAUGCGAGCGUUAUCCGGAUUUAUUGGGUUUAAAGGGUGCGUAGGCGGAUCGAUAAGUCAGUGGUGAAAACCUGCAGCUUAACUGUAGACUUGCCGUUGAUACUGUUGGUCUUGAGUAUGGUCAAGGUAGGCGGAAUGUGUAAUGUAGCGGUGAAAUGCUUAGAUAUUACACAGAACACCGAUUGCGAAGGCAGCUUACUGGACCAUUACUGACGCUGAUGCACGAAAGCGUGGGGAUCGAACAGGAUUAGAUACCCGUGUAGUCG
This 462-nucleotide ribosomal RNA is filed under the name uncultured Bacteroidales bacterium. RNAcentral describes it as "bacterial SSU rRNA". It matches the Rfam family "Bacterial small subunit ribosomal RNA", at positions 337 to 796 of the family's 1533-position model. Lineage: Bacteria; Pseudomonadati; Bacteroidota; Bacteroidia; Bacteroidales. The record is from RNAcentral.